This 2903-nucleotide ribosomal RNA is filed under the name Escherichia coli. RNAcentral describes it as "23S ribosomal RNA". It matches the Rfam family "Bacterial large subunit ribosomal RNA". The record is from RNAcentral. Lineage: Bacteria; Pseudomonadati; Pseudomonadota; Gammaproteobacteria; Enterobacterales; Enterobacteriaceae.
GGUUAAGCGACUAAGCGUACACGGUGGAUGCCCUGGCAGUCAGAGGCGAUGAAGGACGUGCUAAUCUGCGAUAAGCGUCGGUAAGGUGAUAUGAACCGUUAUAACCGGCGAUUUCCGAAUGGGGAAACCCAGUGUGUUUCGACACACUAUCAUUAACUGAAUCCAUAGGUUAAUGAGGCGAACCGGGGGAACUGAAACAUCUAAGUACCCCGAGGAAAAGAAAUCAACCGAGAUUCCCCCAGUAGCGGCGAGCGAACGGGGAGCAGCCCAGAGCCUGAAUCAGUGUGUGUGUUAGUGGAAGCGUCUGGAAAGGCGCGCGAUACAGGGUGACAGCCCCGUACACAAAAAUGCACAUACUGUGAGCUCGAUGAGUAGGGCGGGACACGUGGUAUCCUGUCUGAAUAUGGGGGGACCAUCCUCCAAGGCUAAAUACUCCUGACUGACCGAUAGUGAACCAGUACCGUGAGGGAAAGGCGAAAAGAACCCCGGCGAGGGGAGUGAAAAAGAACCUGAAACCGUGUACGUACAAGCAGUGGGAGCACGCUUAGGCGUGUGACUGCGUACCUUUUGUAUAAUGGGUCAGCGACUUAUAUUCUGUAGCAAGGUUAACCGAAUAGGGGAGCCGAAGGGAAACCGAGUCUUAACUGGGCGUUAAGUUGCAGGGUAUAGACCCGAAACCCGGUGAUCUAGCCAUGGGCAGGUUGAAGGUUGGGUAACACUAACUGGAGGACCGAACCGACUAAUGUUGAAAAAUUAGCGGAUGACUUGUGGCUGGGGGUGAAAGGCCAAUCAAACCGGGAGAUAGCUGGUUCUCCCCGAAAGCUAUUUAGGUAGCGCCUCGUGAAUUCAUCUCCGGGGGUAGAGCACUGUUUCGGCAAGGGGGUCAUCCCGACUUACCAACCCGAUGCAAACUGCGAAUACCGGAGAAUGUUAUCACGGGAGACACACGGCGGGUGCUAACGUCCGUCGUGAAGAGGGAAACAACCCAGACCGCCAGCUAAGGUCCCAAAGUCAUGGUUAAGUGGGAAACGAUGUGGGAAGGCCCAGACAGCCAGGAUGUUGGCUUAGAAGCAGCCAUCAUUUAAAGAAAGCGUAAUAGCUCACUGGUCGAGUCGGCCUGCGCGGAAGAUGUAACGGGGCUAAACCAUGCACCGAAGCUGCGGCAGCGACGCUUAUGCGUUGUUGGGUAGGGGAGCGUUCUGUAAGCCUGUGAAGGUGUGCUGUGAGGCAUGCUGGAGGUAUCAGAAGUGCGAAUGCUGACAUAAGUAACGAUAAAGCGGGUGAAAAGCCCGCUCGCCGGAAGACCAAGGGUUCCUGUCCAACGUUAAUCGGGGCAGGGUGAGUCGACCCCUAAGGCGAGGCCGAAAGGCGUAGUCGAUGGGAAACAGGUUAAUAUUCCUGUACUUGGUGUUACUGCGAAGGGGGACGGAGAAGGCUAUGUUGGCCGGGCGACGGUUGUCCCGGUUUAAGCGUGUAGGCUGGUUUUCCAGGCAAAUCCGGAAAAUCAAGGCUGAGGCGUGAUGACGAGGCACUACGGUGCUGAAGCAACAAAUGCCCUGCUUCCAGGAAAAGCCUCUAAGCAUCAGGUAACAUCAAAUCGUACCCCAAACCGACACAGGUGGUCAGGUAGAGAAUACCAAGGCGCUUGAGAGAACUCGGGUGAAGGAACUAGGCAAAAUGGUGCCGUAACUUCGGGAGAAGGCACGCUGAUAUGUAGGUGAAGUCCCUCGCGGAUGGAGCUGAAAUCAGUCGAAGAUACCAGCUGGCUGCAACUGUUUAUUAAAAACACAGCACUGUGCAAACACGAAAGUGGACGUAUACGGUGUGACGCCUGCCCGGUGCCGGAAGGUUAAUUGAUGGGGUCAGCGCAAGCGAAGCUCUUGAUCGAAGCCCCGGUAAACGGCGGCCGUAACUAUAACGGUCCUAAGGUAGCGAAAUUCCUUGUCGGGUAAGUUCCGACCUGCACGAAUGGCGUAAUGAUGGCCAGGCUGUCUCCACCCGAGACUCAGUGAAAUUGAACUCGCUGUGAAGAUGCAGUGUACCCGCGGCAAGACGGAAAGACCCCGUGAACCUUUACUAUAGCUUGACACUGAACAUUGAGCCUUGAUGUGUAGGAUAGGUGGGAGGCUUAGAAGUGUGGACGCCAGUCUGCAUGGAGCCGACCUUGAAAUACCACCCUUUAAUGUUUGAUGUUCUAACGUUGACCCGUAAUCCGGGUUGCGGACAGUGUCUGGUGGGUAGUUUGACUGGGGCGGUCUCCUCCUAAAGAGUAACGGAGGAGCACGAAGGUUGGCUAAUCCUGGUCGGACAUCAGGAGGUUAGUGCAAUGGCAUAAGCCAGCUUGACUGCGAGCGUGACGGCGCGAGCAGGUGCGAAAGCAGGUCAUAGUGAUCCGGUGGUUCUGAAUGGAAGGGCCAUCGCUCAACGGAUAAAAGGUACUCCGGGGAUAACAGGCUGAUACCGCCCAAGAGUUCAUAUCGACGGCGGUGUUUGGCACCUCGAUGUCGGCUCAUCACAUCCUGGGGCUGAAGUAGGUCCCAAGGGUAUGGCUGUUCGCCAUUUAAAGUGGUACGCGAGCUGGGUUUAGAACGUCGUGAGACAGUUCGGUCCCUAUCUGCCGUGGGCGCUGGAGAACUGAGGGGGGCUGCUCCUAGUACGAGAGGACCGGAGUGGACGCAUCACUGGUGUUCGGGUUGUCAUGCCAAUGGCACUGCCCGGUAGCUAAAUGCGGAAGAGAUAAGUGCUGAAAGCAUCUAAGCACGAAACUUGCCCCGAGAUGAGUUCUCCCUGACUCCUUGAGAGUCCUGAAGGAACGUUGAAGACGACGACGUUGAUAGGCCGGGUGUGUAAGCGCAGCGAUGCGUUGAGCUAACCGGUACUAAUGAACCGUGAGGCUUAACCUU